AACAUACUCCCUCCGUCCAACAAAAGAUGUCUCAAGUUUGUCAGAAUUUGGAUGUAUUUAGACGUGACUUAGUGUAUAGAUCUAUUCAAAUUUAAUAAAAGUUGAGACAUCUUUUGUUGACGGAGGAAAUAGUAA
Non-coding RNA from Brachypodium distachyon (stiff brome), 135 nucleotides. Lineage: Eukaryota; Viridiplantae; Streptophyta; Magnoliopsida; Poales; Poaceae. The record is from Rfam.